Molecule: ribosomal RNA, 252 nt
Filed under: uncultured bacterium
Lineage: Bacteria
Description: partial 16S ribosomal RNA
Rfam family: Bacterial small subunit ribosomal RNA
Source: RNAcentral
GAUCCUGGCUCAGGAUGAACGCUAGCGACAGGCUUAACACAUGCAAGUCGAGGGGCAGCGGGGAGUAGCAAUACUUCGCCGGCGACCGGCGCACGGGUGAGUAACACGUGUGCAACCAACCCCGUACCGGGAGAUAACCCGCGGAAACGUGGACUAACAUCCCAUAAUACUGGAGGAUCGCAUGAUCUUUCAUUUAAAAUUCCGGUGGUACGGGACGGGCACGCGCGACAUUAGGUAGUUGGCGGGGUACGG